Molecule: transfer RNA, 90 nt
Filed under: Oerskovia douganii
Lineage: Bacteria; Bacillati; Actinomycetota; Actinomycetes; Micrococcales; Cellulomonadaceae
Description: Oerskovia sp. Sa1BUA8 tRNA-Ser
Source: RNAcentral
GGUGAGGCCAGCCGAUAGAUGGCGGCGGCAGCUGCUUCGAAACCAGCCUGCGGGGGAACCCGCGUGGGAGUUCGACCCUCUCCCUCACCG